GCCGAGCUGGGUUGCGCCAGCUUGUCAUCCAAGUGGGGGCAUCAGAGUGAUGGAACAGUCUUCGGGCUUGCUGGGUUGGGCUCUGGCUGCAUUCUGCUGGCCUGUCCGUUCCAAGUUGUGAGUUGAGCUACGGGACUUGAGCGAAGGCCCAAGUUUCUGGGUUCCUAGACUUGAGGGCACAGCGUGAGGCUGGUUUAACAGAGCAGCGAAUACCUCAGGCUUCCAACAGUGGAGGGAUAACAGGCUGCUGCAACAGCAGUCCACAAUGGCCUGGUGAGCCCAUUUCCUUGAACCAUCACUUUU
Molecule: non-coding RNA, 303 nt
Organism: Glycine soja
Lineage: Eukaryota; Viridiplantae; Streptophyta; Magnoliopsida; Fabales; Fabaceae
Source: Rfam